UACGAGGGGGGCGAGCGUUGUUCGGAAUUAUUGGGCGUAAAGGGUGCGUAGGCGGUUUGGUAAGUCUUAUGUGAAAUCUACAGGCUCAACUUGUAGUCUGCAUGAGAAACUGCCGGGCUUGAGUAUGGGAGAGGUGAGUGGAAUUCCUGGUGUAGCGGUGAAAUGCGUAGAUAUCACUUGGAACGCCAAUGGUGAUAACAGAUAGCUGGGGUUGUGCUGACACUGAGACACGAAAGCCAGGGGAGCAAACGGG
Molecule: ribosomal RNA, 253 nt
Filed under: uncultured bacterium
Lineage: Bacteria
Description: partial 16S ribosomal RNA
Rfam family: Bacterial small subunit ribosomal RNA
Source: RNAcentral